RNAcentral lists this ribosomal RNA (482 nucleotides) under uncultured bacterium. RNAcentral describes it as "partial 16S ribosomal RNA". It matches the Rfam family "Bacterial small subunit ribosomal RNA", at positions 30 to 507 of the family's 1533-position model. The record is from RNAcentral.
AUUGAACGCUGGCGGCAUGCCUUACACAUGCAAGUCGAACGGUAACAGGUCUUCGGAUGCUGACGAGUGGCGAACGGGUGAGUAAUACAUCGGAACGUGCCCGAUCGUGGGGGAUAACGAGGCGAAAGCUUUGCUAAUACCGCAUACGAUCUACGGAUGAAAGCGGGGGAUCUUCGAACCUCGCGCGGACGGAGCGGCCGAUGGCAGAUUAGGUAGUUGGUGGGAUAAAAGCUUACCAAGCCGACGAUCUGUAGCUGGUCUGAGAGGAUGAUCAGCCACACUGGGACUGAGACACGGCCCAGACUCCUACGGGAGGCAGCAGUGGGGAAUUUUGGACAAUGGGCGAAAGCCUGAUCCAGCCAUGCCGCGUGCAGGAUGAAGGCCUUCGGGUUGUAAACUGCUUUUGUACGGAACGAAAAGCCUCUUUCUAAUAAAGAGGGGUCAUGACGGUACCGUAAGAAUAAGCACCGGCUAACUACGUG